AUGGUUCCGCGGCGCGAUGCACCGCAUA
RNAcentral lists this small RNA (28 nucleotides) under Bombyx mori (domestic silkworm). RNAcentral's name for it is "ovarian small RNA-12642". The record is from RNAcentral. Lineage: Eukaryota; Metazoa; Arthropoda; Insecta; Lepidoptera; Bombycidae.